Molecule: ribosomal RNA, 468 nt
Filed under: uncultured bacterium
Lineage: Bacteria
Description: partial 16S ribosomal RNA
Rfam family: Bacterial small subunit ribosomal RNA
Source: RNAcentral
GACGAACGCUGGCGGCGUGCUUAACACAUGCAAGUCGAACGGAAAGGCCCUGCUUUUGUGGGGUGCUCGAGUGGCGAACGGGUGAGUAACACGUGAGUAACCUGCCCUUGACUUUGGGAUAACUUCAGGAAACUGGGGCUAAUACCGGAUAGGAGCUCCUGCUGCAUGGUGGGGGUUGGAAAGUUUCGGCGGUUGGGGAUGGACUCGCGGCUUAUCAGCUUGUUGGUGGGGUAGUGGCUUACCAAGGCUUUGACGGGUAGCCGGCCUGAGAGGGUGACCGGCCACAUUGGGACUGAGAUACGGCCCAGACUCCUACGGGAGGCAGCAAUGGGGAAUAUUGCACAAUGGGCGGAAGCCUGAUGCAGCAACGCCGCGUGCGGGAUGACGGCCUUCGGGUUGUAAACCGCCUUCGCCUGUGACGAAGCGUGAGUGACGGUAAUGGGUAAAGAAGCACCGGCUAACUACGUG